AACGAACGGGAAAGCGGUUGUCAGAGGGACCGUAAAAUUGCCGGUGCCGACACGGGCUCAUAGCUCAGUUGGAAGAGCGCGGCCUUUGCGAGGCCGAGGCCGGGGGUUCAAAUCCCCCUGAGUCCAUUUAGUGCACCUGGAGAUGCGAGUCUUCAGGGAAGGGCAGAUGGUCACGUACCAGAUGAACGCCGUGUACAGGUGUGCGAUCUAGGACGUUAAAUGGGUUCGGCGGUUACUGGU
RNAcentral lists this transfer RNA (240 nucleotides) under uncultured archaeon. RNAcentral describes it as "16S-23S ribosomal RNA intergenic spacer". The stretch from base 54 to 126 matches the Rfam family "tRNA". The record is from RNAcentral.